This is a long non-coding RNA of Oncorhynchus tshawytscha (Chinook salmon), 1214 nucleotides long. NCBI's taxonomy places the organism in Eukaryota, Metazoa, Chordata, Actinopteri, Salmoniformes, Salmonidae. The record is from Ensembl.
GUGCACCCAACCUUUCGUACUCCAUUUCCUUUGCUUGCUCUCCCAACUGUGUAAUGGAGAUGGGUCCCCAACCAUGGAAACUGAAGUACUCGGUCAACCAUGUUCGCGCCUUCAUAUUAUUGUACAAUAUAGAUUUAGUACUUUGAUUUGAUCCAUAAUGGCGCCAGUUUCAUCGGUGCACAAAUAGUACACGCCCACAUUCAAGAGCCAACCACAAUCAGUGUUUCAUUUGGCCUCUUUCCUUCAGACGCAUAUCGAAGCCCGUCUGGAAACAGUUUGCAAGGGGUCGUUAAAGAAGAUUAAGCCGGUAACAAAAUAUCGUUUUUAGCUACAUUAAGUUUACCUUUGAAGGCUCCAGUUUUGAUUACUGAGCAUACAAAUCUUCAAUUCAGACCAUGGUGACAAAAUAAAAAGUGUACACGGACGUUUUCGAGGAGAUUUUAAGCUUUCUCUGUCGGUUGUUGGUGUUCAGGAAUUAGCAAGCUAGUUAGCACUAGCCUAGAAAUACUAGCCAGCCUAGCUUGCUAACGUUAGCUUCCAAUAGUCUGAUUAUCAACUGAGAUGUUUGCAGCAUUUCUCGGAUGUCUACGGACGGCAGAUUGCUGAACCAGAGGGCCUCAAAUGGGAAAAACAAGCAUCGGACAGGAAUAUCGGGGAUAAGCUUGUCGACGUAACUCAGAUUCUGUUGAAGGGGACACGGAAACCGUGCACGGGCGGAUCAGGAAUCCGUAAGACAAAGGCCUGACCUCUGAAAUUGAGGGUCCAUUUCAGGCGAACUUGUACACGACAGGAACUGUGAUGAGAUCCAACCUACAUUGAAUUCUCUGCUGCAGGAAUAAGAGUUGGGAAGCAUGGCGUUGGAAUCUGCUGUGACCCAGCAGAUGGUGAGGUAUGAGCCCAUACCUGACUCAGACCAGUGGGAUGAACGCUACAUGCCUCCUGGAAUGCUGGACGAUGAUGACCAAUUUGACCCCGAUGAUCCACAAUUUAAAACUUUUCUUAGUUCUAACGUGUGAAGGUUAUAGUGAAAAUCUCAAAAGGAAGAGUUAUAACUGGAAGUAGAAAUAAAACUAUACCCAGGUGAGGUGAAAUAGACGUUGUACAUUUAUGGGUGAUUUCUUUUAAUAAACAAAUGUUGUAUCAAGAUGUAAUAUUUAGUCAAAAGGUGGAUUGAUAGAAUUUGGAUGUUUAAGAUAAUGACUAAAGUAUUUCAC